Molecule: ribosomal RNA, 591 nt
Filed under: Opecarcinus sp. SET1
Lineage: Eukaryota; Metazoa; Arthropoda; Malacostraca; Decapoda; Cryptochiridae
Description: partial ribosomal RNA
Rfam family: Bacterial large subunit ribosomal RNA
Source: RNAcentral
GUCUUUUUGUAAAUAUAAAGAGUCCGGUCUGCCCACUGAUGAGUGUAUUAAAGGGCCGCAGUAUUUUAACUGUGCAAAGGUAGCAUAAUCAUUAGUUCUUUAAUUGAGAUCUUGAAUGAAUGAUUAGACAAAAAAGUUACUGUCUUUAUAAUAAUAAUUGAAUUUAACUUUUGAGUGAAAAGGCUUAAAUAAUUUAGAGUGACGAUAAGACCCUAUAAAGCUUAAUAUUAUUAUAAAAUUUUUGGUAAUUUAAAGUAUAAAGGUUUAAGGUUUAUUAAUAUUUUAUUGGGGCGAUAGAAGUAAAAAGUUUAAUAACUGCUUUUUUUUUAAUCAAGUAUAAAUGGUUAGUGUGUAAGUGAUCUUAUUUUAUAGAGUAAAAGAUUAAGUUACUUUAGGGAUAACAGCGUUAUUUUUCUUGAGAGUUCUUAUCGAAAGAAAAGAUUGCGACCUCGAUGUUGAAUUAAAAUAUCUAUAUAAUUGUAGCGGUUAUAUAAGAAGGUCUGUUCGACCUUUAAAUUUUUACGUGAUUUGAGUUCAGACCGGUUUAAACCAGGUCGGUUUCUAUCUUUUAAUUAAAUUGUAAUUAUUUUA